Molecule: non-coding RNA, 23 nt
Filed under: Rattus norvegicus (Norway rat)
Lineage: Eukaryota; Metazoa; Chordata; Mammalia; Rodentia; Muridae
Source: RNAcentral
AGCUAAAGAGCCUUCCCUUGGCC